GUUAGAACGCUCGUAGUCGGAUUUCGGGGCGGGCCGACCGGUCUGCCGAUGGGUACGUACUGGUCGGCGCGUCCUUCCUCCUGGAGACCGUGCCUACUCUUAACUGAGCGGGGGCGGGAGACAGGACUUUUACUUUGAAAAAAUCAGAGUGUUUCAAGCAGGCAGCUCGCUCUUGCAUGGAUUAGCAUGGGAUAAUGAAAUAGGACUUUGGUGCUAUUUUGUUGGUUUCGAACACCGAAGUAAUGAUGAGAAGGGACAGUCAGGGGCACUCGUAUUCCGCCGAGAGAGGUGAAAUUCUCAGACCAGCGGAAGACGAACCACUGCGAAAGCAUUUGCCAGGGAUGUUUUCACUGAUCAAGAACGAAAGUUAGGGGAUCGAAGACGAUCAGAUACCGUCGUAGUCUUAACCAUAAACCAUGCCGACUAGGGAUUGGAGGAUGUUCACUGAUUGACUCCUUCAGCACCUUACGGGAAACUAAAGUCUUUGGGUUCCGGGGGGAGUAUGGUCGCAAGGCUGAAACUUAAAGGAAUUGACGGAAGGGCACCACCAGGUGUGGAGCCUGCGGCUUAAUUUGACUCAACACGGGGAAACUUACCAGGUCCAGACAUUGUGAGGAUUGACAGAUUGAGAGCUCUUUCUUGAUUCGAUGGGUGGUGGUGCAUGGCCGUUCUUAGUUGGUGGAGUGAUUUGUCUGGUUAAU
This 701-nucleotide ribosomal RNA is filed under the name uncultured marine eukaryote. RNAcentral's name for it is "SSU rRNA". It matches the Rfam family "Eukaryotic small subunit ribosomal RNA", at positions 618 to 1323 of the family's 1831-position model. The record is from RNAcentral.